This 1265-nucleotide long non-coding RNA is filed under the name Sus scrofa (pig). RNAcentral describes it as "lncRNA (ENSSSCG00060023773.1)". Lineage: Eukaryota; Metazoa; Chordata; Mammalia; Artiodactyla; Suidae. The record is from RNAcentral.
GGCGUUAGUUAUUUUUAGUCUGCUUGGGUCACUCCCGUGUUCAACCAGGAUUGAAAUCACUGUGCUGCCUAAUAACUUCAGGAGGAAGGAAACCGCAGGAGACGUUAACACGGUAAUUUACAUUUGUUUGGAGGAGAAGAUUCACUCAGCGGUGCGAUUCUAUGGAGGCGGUGAGUUGCAAUUUUGCUGCAUGUUGAAUAUGCCCAAGGAAUGUUUUAAACCAGAUAAUGUUUGGGGUGCACUCCCUGGGGCUCUGCCUUCAUCAAUAAGGGGUGAGGACUCUCUGACCCGAGCUUUCAAAUCUCCCUGGGGGUGACCCAGUUUGAGAGCCACUGAAUCAGGGAUGCUCUGGGCCCAGGUCCCCAGGAGAAGCCAAAAGAAGGCAGAUAGGACCAUUGAGUCCAGUGAACUGUUCUGAAGCCUCUUAGGAAUAGUGGGUUGCUGAGUCCUUAGAAGGCACAAAUAUGGCUCAUUUUCACAAUUAUCUUAGACGAAGAAUUCGUGCAUGGACGACAACAAUGUUUUCUGAACUUUGGAACUGUCUGGAGAAUUUGUGGGUAAUUUAAUAACUUGCUUACUCAUAUUUUCUCCCGAGACUGCUUCUGCUUUUGACAACUGGAGCCCACUGUCAGCUCACUGGACGGUGGUGGUUCAGAACUCUUAUCUCAGCUGUGUUUUACCUGGGGGACUUUGGACAAAUCAGCUCAUUGUGCCUUGUUUGGACAGGUUGCUUCCUGGGGAAGCCUGGCCAAUCCCCUGUGUAUACGUGGUUAUAAAAUAAUUUGAUCUUGAGCUCUUGAGAAGGCCCUGAGUGGCCCUGGAAGAUAAGGUGAUUAUCUGGGGCUUCCACAGAAGCCUAAUGACCUUUGCCCAAGUGCCUCAUUUGAAUUCAUUUUCAAGGGCGUUUCGUGGAGUAUUCAGUGCUUACAGCUUCUCACCCUGAUAUAGAGGAGCCCAGGAAGGGCAAGAUAGCAUCCCUGCUCUGGAACCUAAAAUCUGUCUCAGAGACCCUUCUUGGAACAGGAAUUGCAAACAGAAAUGCCAAAGGGACCAGACAAUGAUACCGUGGGAAUCCGGGCGGCCCGCUAAGAGGGGCCGUUGGUUACCUGGGGACUUCAGCUAAGAUGUUCUUUGCACCAAGGGCAUUUCUGGGCUGAAUUAGCCAGCUAGCUUUUGAGGGAUCCAACUUUCAUAAAUCCCACUUGGCUGCCCAGCUUCUCAGGGUUUCCACCCUUGACUAGGCAUGGAAAUUCCUUUAGCACGUG